This 57-nucleotide transfer RNA is filed under the name Urocitellus parryii (Arctic ground squirrel). Its description in RNAcentral is "Spermophilus parryii (Arctic ground squirrel) tRNA". It matches the Rfam family "tRNA", at positions 8 to 63 of the family's 71-position model. From Rfam's summary of the family: Transfer RNA (tRNA) molecules are approximately 80 nucleotides in length. Lineage: Eukaryota; Metazoa; Chordata; Mammalia; Rodentia; Sciuridae. The record is from Rfam by way of RNAcentral. RNAcentral also lists the same sequence under 1 other name.
UGGCUCAGUGGUAGAGCACUUGCCUAGCAUGCAUGAGGUACUGGGUUCGAUUCUCAG